This 884-nucleotide long non-coding RNA is filed under the name Helianthus annuus (common sunflower). RNAcentral's name for it is "hypothetical non coding rna". Lineage: Eukaryota; Viridiplantae; Streptophyta; Magnoliopsida; Asterales; Asteraceae. The record is from RNAcentral.
GGUUUCACCAAUUGUUAUAGAGAUGUAUGUAGAGAUCUAUAAUUUAGUAUGGGAACAAAUAUUCAAGAUUCAAUACAAUUUCCACAUUAGUCACAUUAGUUUCUUAUCACGUUAUCAGCACGACUAGACUCUUCACUGGGAUUUGGCCGAUAAUCUGCAAUCAACCACAAGGAAUCGGUGUUUCAUAUCCCUGACAACAUUACCGAUUCGUUGCUUUGAUAUUCACAACAUUUUCUGUUCAUCACACCAGUAUGAUUCCACUCAAGUUAAGUGCAGGUACUACGCGUAAUGGGCUGGAAACUCUGGUAUUAAAUAAAGAGUCUUGCAAGCUUUUAAUACUUAAAGUCUGUUGAACAAUAUUUCUUUCUGUUUUAGAUCCGCCUGUGGAUCCACUUACAAGCGUUGUGUAAUAUCUUAUUAUCACUACAAAAAAAAAUGUCAUUUAGUGACAUACAGAAAGUGACACAAAAAAACAAAUAAGUGCCACUAAAGACUCAUGUAAGAAUGGGUGGCACACAAAAAAAGUGCCACUAGAAGUGCUGACGCUAAAGCCUUUUAGCAGCACUUUUUCACUCUGCCGCACAAAGUUUUUGGACUUUUAGUGGCACUUUUUUUUAUGCCACUACAAACUUUUGAGCUUUUAGUGGCACAAUAUUUUUGCCAUAAAAACACAUGAGAUUUAAUGCCAUUAAUGUUUAUCAUAAUAAGUUUUUAAUUACAAAUACUGUUUAUUUACAUUAAAAAAUAAAAAUAAAAGUGUAAAAUGUAGAAAUCAUAGUAUAAUCACUUAACUUAAAAGUUCAACUAGUCAUCUUUCAAUGAUUCCAAAUGUUUGCAAACAAAUGUCUAACAGGUGUCAACCUAAGUCUAAAGAUCAAAACAUA